AUUGAACGCUGGCGGCAGGCCUAACACAUGCAAGUCGAGCGGAUGAAGGGAGCUUGCUCCUGGAUUCAGCGGCGGACGGGUGAGUAAUGCCUAGGAAUCUGCCUGGUAGUGGGGGAUAACGUCCGGAAACGGGCGCUAAUACCGCAUACGUCCUGAGGGAGAAAGUGGGGGAUCUUCGGACCUCACGCUAUCAGAUGAGCCUAGGUCGGAUUAGCUAGUUGGUGGGGUAAAGGCCUACCAAGGCGACGAUCCGUAACUGGUCUGAGAGGAUGAUCAGUCACACUGGAACUGAGACACGGUCCAGGCUCCUACGGGAGGCAGCAGUGGGGAAUAUUGGACAGUGGGCGAAAGCCUGAUCCAGCCAUGCCGCGUGUGUGAAGAAGGUCUUCGGAUUGUAAAGCACUUUAAGUUGGGAGGAAGGGCAGUAAGUUAAUACCUUGCUGUUGUGACGUUACCAACAGAAUAAGCACCGGCUAACUUCGUG
This 484-nucleotide ribosomal RNA is filed under the name uncultured bacterium. Its description in RNAcentral is "partial 16S ribosomal RNA". It matches the Rfam family "Bacterial small subunit ribosomal RNA", at positions 30 to 507 of the family's 1533-position model. The record is from RNAcentral.